RNAcentral lists this non-coding RNA (111 nucleotides) under Bacillus sp. (in: firmicutes). RNAcentral describes it as "Bacillus sp. SAM-I sequence". It matches the Rfam family "SAM riboswitch aptamer (S box leader)". From Rfam's summary of the family: The SAM riboswitch is found upstream of a number of genes which code for proteins involved in methionine or cysteine biosynthesis in Gram-positive bacteria. Lineage: Bacteria; Bacillati; Bacillota; Bacilli; Caryophanales; Bacillaceae. The record is from RNAcentral. RNAcentral also lists the same sequence under 1 other name.
CUCUUAUGAAGAGAGGCGGAGGGACUGGCCCUAUGAAGCCCGGCAACCAUUCAACAGCUUUGUUGAAAAGGUGCUAAAUCCUGCAAAGCGUAAUGCUUUGACAAAUAAGAG